GACUUUUUUUUUUUUUUUUAUCCUUUUUCUCUACUUCAGGGCUAGUUGUCAUGUUUGGACUUAGAGAAUUUUGAUGACCUCAGGAAUAGAUACUGUAAAUUAUUUUACCUGGUAAAAGUUGCUCAACGUGUUGUACUUGCGUUUGUCGAUAAGCAUACUGUAAAUUUUUUUACCAUGUAAAAAUGCACAAAUUAUACUAUAAAUUUUUUUACCAUGUAAAAAAAAUUUGUUGACUUCAGGGCUAGUUUUUAGUAGAGAUGUUGCAGCCAAGGACCAUAUUUUUGUGUUACACUUUCAGCUUCUCAGCUAUAACACCUUCAA
RNAcentral lists this unclassified non-coding RNA (321 nucleotides) under Puccinia pammelii. Lineage: Eukaryota; Fungi; Basidiomycota; Pucciniomycetes; Pucciniales; Pucciniaceae. The record is from RNAcentral.